GACGAACGCUGGCGGCGUGCUUAACACAUGCAAGUCGAACGGAAAGGCCCUGCUUUUGUGGGGUGCUCGAGUGGCGAACGGGUGAGUAACACGUGAGUAACCUGCCCUUGUCUUUGGGAUAACUUCAGGAAACUGGGGCUAAUACCGGAUAGGAGCUCCUGCUGCAUGGUGGUGGUUGGAAAGUUUCGGCGGUUGGGGAUGGACUCGCGGCUUAUCAGCUUGUUGGUGGGGUAGUGGCUUACCAAGGCUUUGACGGGUAGCCGGCAUGAGAGGGUGACCGGCCACAUUGGGACUGAGAUACGGACCAGACUCCUACGGGAGGCAGCAGUGGGGAAUAUUGCACAAUGGGCGGAAGCCUGAUGCAGCAACGCCGCGUGCGGGAUGACGGCCUUCGGGUUGUAAACCGCUUUCGCCGGUGACGAAGCGUGAGUGACGGUAAUGGGUAAAGAAGCACCGGCUAACUACGUG
RNAcentral lists this ribosomal RNA (468 nucleotides) under uncultured bacterium. RNAcentral describes it as "partial 16S ribosomal RNA". It matches the Rfam family "Bacterial small subunit ribosomal RNA", at positions 28 to 507 of the family's 1533-position model. The record is from RNAcentral.